Molecule: transfer RNA, 87 nt
Filed under: Singulisphaera acidiphila DSM 18658
Lineage: Bacteria; Pseudomonadati; Planctomycetota; Planctomycetia; Isosphaerales; Isosphaeraceae
Also listed under: 2 other names
Description: tRNA-Ser (GGA) (tRNA-Ser-GGA-1-1)
Rfam family: tRNA
About the family: Transfer RNA (tRNA) molecules are approximately 80 nucleotides in length.
Source: Rfam by way of RNAcentral
GGAGAGGUGACCGAGAGGCCGAAGGUGCAGCACUGGAAAUGCUGUGUACUGUCACAGGUACCGAGGGUUCGAAUCCCUCCCUCUCCG